GUGCCAGCAGCCGCGGUAAUACAGAGGGUGCAAGCGUUAAUCGGAAUUACUGGGCGUAAAGCGCGCGUAGGUGGUUGUGUAAGUUGGAUGUGAAAGCCCCGGGCUUAACCUGGGAACUGCAUUCAAAACUGCACGGCUAGAGUACGGGAGAGGGGGGUAGAAUUCCAGGUGUAGCGGUGAAAUGCGUAGAGAUCUGGAGGAAUACCGAUGGCGAAGGCAGCCCCCUGGCCUGAUACUGACACUGAGGUGCGAAAGCAUGGGGAGCAAACAGGAUUAGAUACCCUUGUAGUCC
This 292-nucleotide ribosomal RNA is filed under the name uncultured bacterium. Its description in RNAcentral is "partial 16S ribosomal RNA". It matches the Rfam family "Bacterial small subunit ribosomal RNA", at positions 505 to 796 of the family's 1533-position model. The record is from RNAcentral.